GACGAACGCUGGCGGCGUGCUUAACACAUGCAAGUCGAACGAUGAACCCGGAGCUUGCUCCGGCGGAUUAGUGGCGAACGGGUGAGUAACACGUGAGUAACCUGCCCUUGACUCUGGGAUAACUGCGGGAAACUGUAGCUAAUACCGGAUACGACCCUCGGCGGCAUCGCCAGGGGGUGGAAAGAAUUUCGGUCAAGGAUGGACUCGCGGCCUAUCAGCUAGUUGGUGAGGUAACGGCUCACCAAGGCGACGACGGGUAGCCGGCCUGAGAGGGUGAGCGGCCACACUGGGAAGGAGACACGGCCCAGACUCCUACGGGAGGCAGCAGUGGGGAAUAUUGCACAAUGGGCGAAAGCCUGAUGCAGCAACGCCGCGUGAGGGAUGACGGCCUUCGGGUUGUAAACCUCUUUUAGUAGGGAAGAAGCGAAAGUGACGGUACCUGCAGAAAAAGCACCGGCUAACUACGUGCCAGCCGCCGCGGUAA
This 484-nucleotide ribosomal RNA is filed under the name uncultured bacterium. RNAcentral's name for it is "partial 16S ribosomal RNA". It matches the Rfam family "Bacterial small subunit ribosomal RNA", at positions 28 to 523 of the family's 1533-position model. The record is from RNAcentral.